UCUUCAUUUCACGUGCUCUCUCAUCGGUCUGAGAGGAGAGAGAGUGAGUGGGAAAUGAAGAGA
This 63-nucleotide microRNA precursor is filed under the name Pristionchus pacificus. RNAcentral describes it as "mir-8364 microRNA precursor family". It matches the Rfam family "mir-8364 microRNA precursor family". Lineage: Eukaryota; Metazoa; Nematoda; Chromadorea; Rhabditida; Neodiplogasteridae. The record is from Rfam by way of RNAcentral.